AUUGAACGCUGGCGGCAGGCCUAACACAUGCAAGUCGAGCGAGCGGCGGACGGGUGAGUAAUGCCUGGGAAUUGCCCAGUCGAGGGGGAUAACAGUUGGAAACGACUGCUAAUACCGCAUACGAUUGGCUUGCCCAGGUGGGAGUAGCUCGUUGGUGAGGUAAUGGCGCACCAAGGCGACGAUCCCUAGCUGGUCUGCGAGGAGGAUCAGCCACUAUGGAAGUGAGACACGGUCCACACGCCUCAGGGCGGCCGCAGUGGGGAAAAUUGGACAAUGGGGGAAUCCCUGAUGCAGCCAUGCCGCGUGUGUGAAGAAGGCCUUCGGGUUGUAAAGCACUUUCAGAGAGGAGGCGUUACUCGCAGAAGAAGCACCGGCUGACUCCGUGCCAGCAGCCGCGGUAAUUC
RNAcentral lists this ribosomal RNA (404 nucleotides) under uncultured bacterium. RNAcentral's name for it is "partial 16S ribosomal RNA". It matches the Rfam family "Bacterial small subunit ribosomal RNA", at positions 30 to 526 of the family's 1533-position model. The record is from RNAcentral.